Molecule: ribosomal RNA, 440 nt
Filed under: uncultured bacterium
Lineage: Bacteria
Description: partial 16S ribosomal RNA
Rfam family: Bacterial small subunit ribosomal RNA
Source: RNAcentral
CCUACGGGAGGCAGCAGUGGGGAAUAUUGCACAAUGGGGGAAACCCUGAUGCAGCGACGCCGCGUGAGUGAAGAAGUAAUUCGUUAUGUAAAGCUCUAUCAGCAGGGAAGAAAAUGACGGUACCUGAGUAAGAAGCCCCGGCUAACUACGUGCCAGCAGCCGCGGUAAUACGUAGGGGGCAAGCGUUAUCCGGAUUUACUGGGUGUAAAGGGAGCGUAGACGGCAGUGCACGUCUGGAGUGAAAGGCGGGGGCUCAACCCCCGGACUGCUCUUGAAACUGUACGGCUGGAGUGCAGGAGAGGUAAGUGGAAUUCCUAGUGUAGCGGUGAAAUGCGGAGAUAGUAGGAGGAACACCAGUGGCGAAGGCGGCUUACUGGACUGUAACUGACGUUGAGGCUCGAAAGCGUGGGGAGCAAACAGGAUUAGAUACCCCUGUAGUC